AGACAGCGUGUCUGAGGUGCAGGCGCGUGACUACCACAGCUUUCAACUUAGCAGAAGACCACAGAACGGGCUUGCAAGGGGCACAACCCCUGCGUGUUGGUGGGGAUGUGAAGAAAUGCCUUGUGGAGCCUGGUGAAGAAGUGAAAAGGGAUGGGGAGCCAGCAGGAGCAGUUUCUUUGCCAAAUUAUAAACCCAGUUGCAAGCUGGAAGCGUGAAAUCCCACAUCUUUACAAGAAGAAA
Molecule: long non-coding RNA, 240 nt
Organism: Rhea pennata
Lineage: Eukaryota; Metazoa; Chordata; Aves; Rheiformes; Rheidae
Exons: 3
Source: RefSeq, a predicted model, not a curated record